Molecule: unclassified non-coding RNA, 187 nt
Filed under: uncultured fungus
Lineage: Eukaryota; Fungi
Description: sequence contains ITS1
Source: RNAcentral
UCGAGUGUUGCCCCCCUCGUAAAAAAAGGGGGGUACCUCCCGUCCUUUGCUGGGGGCCCCCUCUUUUUUUAUGGGAGGGGGCUUUUUCAGACCUUUCUGCUUCGGCGGGGUCCCCCCCUGCCGGAACACCCUCAAAAAACUCUUUUUUAACAGUUCUGUCCGAGGAUUUUUAAUAAAAUUGAUAACA